RNAcentral lists this ribosomal RNA (525 nucleotides) under uncultured bacterium. RNAcentral's name for it is "bacterial SSU rRNA". It matches the Rfam family "Bacterial small subunit ribosomal RNA", at positions 355 to 896 of the family's 1533-position model. The record is from RNAcentral.
UGGGGAAUAUUGGACAAUGGGGGAAACCCUGAUCCAGCGACGCCGCGUGAGUGAAGAAGUAUUUCGGUAUGUAAAGCUCUAUCAGCAGGGAAGAAAAUGACGGUACCUGACUAAGAAGCCCCGGCUAACUACGUGCCAGCAGCCGCGGUAAUACGUAGGGGGCAAGCGUUAUCCGGAUUUACUGGGUGUAAAGGGAGCGCAGACGGCGAAGCAAGUCUGAAGUGAAAUGCAUGGGCUCAACCCAUGAAUUGCUUUGGAAACUGUUUGGCUUGAGUGUCGGAGGGGUAAGCGGAAUUCCUAGUGUAGCGGUGAAAUGCGUAGAUAUUAGGAGGAACACCGGAGGCGAAGGCGGCUUACUGGACGACAACUGACGUUGAGGCUCGAAGGCGUGGGGAGCAAACAGGAUUAGAUACCCUGGUAGUCCACGCAGUAAACGAUGAAUACUUGGUGUCGGGGAGGAAAACUCUUCGGUGCCGCAAGCAAACGCAUUAAGUAUUCCACCUGGGGAGUACGUUCGCAAGAAUG